AAUUAGAGUUCUGGGGGGUUUCUGAACCAACUUAGUCACUUGGAGCUCAUCAUUAGACUGUUAGUACCUUUCAUAAUUAUGACCUUUGAGGAGAGGCUUCUGAUCUGUUGCCACUGGAAUAAGAGUGUUUUUUUCUCUCUCUCUCUCUUUACAGUACUGUUCAGAAUAACCACAGAAUUUUUUUUAGAUCAAUUGUAUUCUAGGUAUUUCAAGAAGAAAUAUUUUUAAUUUUAACCACAAAUUGGUGAUUCUUUUCUCUCCUUGCUUCUCCCUUCUUCCCUCUUUCCUUUCUUCUCGUCUUCCCCUCAUUUUUUUCUUUCUUUCUUCCUCUUCCAACUCUCUCUUUUUCUAUCUCCCCCUAGAAGUAUUUUAGCCUCCAGGAUUAUACUACUAUGCUAAGGUAGUACACCUUAAUUCUGCAAACACUACUGGAAAAUUCUCACCCACAGCUCUGUUCUCUGUCACUUGACUACAGUUCCAAAACCUUAGCUUGCACAUUUCUAAUUUGUAUGUCUGCAUGCCU
Molecule: long non-coding RNA, 523 nt
Filed under: Pan troglodytes (chimpanzee)
Lineage: Eukaryota; Metazoa; Chordata; Mammalia; Primates; Hominidae
Description: long non-coding RNA NONPTRT015171
Source: RNAcentral